This 8917-nucleotide long non-coding RNA is filed under the name Populus trichocarpa (black cottonwood). Its description in RNAcentral is "long non-coding RNA (PTRI_LNC001476)". The stretch from base 989 to 1084 matches the Rfam family "MIR480 microRNA precursor family". The record is from RNAcentral. Lineage: Eukaryota; Viridiplantae; Streptophyta; Magnoliopsida; Malpighiales; Salicaceae.
UUUAUAAAAGUUAAUAAAUGGGUUAGAUGCUUUUUCAAAGGAUUGAAGAGUGAGAGAGGUUGAAAGGGUGAGAAAACUGAAUUGUUGUUGAAUUGGGCAGGGUUUCAAAGAUGUAAGCAACGUGGGAGGAGGCUAUCUUGCUUGGACGGAGAAUGUUUUUCCGGUGAAGAUAGAGAAGAAAGAGAGAGAUGAACUCUGAUCUGUAAAUCCAGUCAUUUAAAUGGUUGUGUGACCAGAUGGCUCAGCAUUAUUGUGGAUGCAAUAUUAAUGUUAAUGUCGAUAAUUAUAAUAAUAGCUGUUCAGUUUUUUUUAAUUUUUAAUUUAAUAUAAGUGUUCCUAUCAAUUUCCGCAUAGCUUGAUUAAUUCUACAAACUUUAAAAUUAAUAAUUAUAUAAAAUUUAAGUGAACAUGUGCUGUUCAGCUUCUUGCCAAAUGAAACAGGUCAGUGAUGGACAUGUCCCGAUCCCUAGCCCGUUGUAAAGCCAGGCUAGUGAAACAAGGUAUCAUCAAUGAGACCAGAUUGGACGUGUCAAAGUUGGUGAACCGUUGCCAUCUGCCCCAUGCUAGGGCUUUUAUGGCAACAUGCGGAAUAAAUAGGGUGGAUCAUGUCACUUUUCAGAAUAAUAAUAUUCAGUAAAUAUCGUGUUUUUAAAAUGUGUCAUUUCUAAUUUAAAUGGUUGACUAACUUAUAAUAGUAAGUGAAAUUCGUUUAUUGAUUUAAAAAAUAAUAAAAAAAAUCUCAAAAUUAUUAAAAGUGAGUCUUAUUUAGAUUUUUUAUAUCUAAAAAUCUAAUUAUUUACAUAAUGAUGUAGUCACUAAUUUAAAAAAAUAGUUUUUGAAAAUUCUUGUAAAAAUAUAAGUACAAUCCAACCGUUAUAUUAAAAUUUAUAAUUUUUUUAAGUUGUUAUUUUAAUUUGCGUAAUCAAAUUUUUUCUUGAGUCUAAAUCUAUAUUACUAGCUUAUAAAUACAUAUGUUAAACCAUUUAUAUAAUUUAUUUGAAGUAGAUUUUCAUUUAGUUAUGACAAACUUAGACUUGAUUAUUUAAAAUCAUUCACUACUAUAUGAAUAAUAAUUUUUUGAAAUUUUAUUUGGAGUCUAUUUUUAGUUAACAAGUUAGAUAAAAAUAUAUAUUUUAACUUAUAAAAUAUAUUUAAAAAUAAAUUUAUAAAAUUAUGAUUUUUAUGUAAAAUGAUAAAUUGAUUAAUUCAACUAGAUUUAAUUGAUAAAUUAAUUAAAAUAAAAAUAAAUAAAAUUUAAUCAAGUCACGCUUCUAGAAAUCCAUUAUUUCACCAAAUUUUUUUUAGCCUGUAUUAAUUCACCAAUUUUUUUAAUUUUUAAAAAAAUCCUUUAACUAUGAAGGCUAGCAGAUCAUUUUGUCAGAAAACUAGUUGUAGCUCUGCGAAGCAUUUAAUUUUGCUGUAAUUGCACUUUAAAAGCAACCUUGUGAUUCAACAGGCAGCAAAGUAUAUAUAUAUUUUAAGAUUUAUUUAAAAAUAUAAAAUCCAAUAUUUUAAAAAAAACAGGGCAAAACCGUGUUCCAAGUAGGCAAUUUUGCAUGUUUCGGAUAUGAUUAACUUCAAUUUCUAACAAAAUCAGAGUCUUGGAAACAUUUAAGACUUCUAAUUAUCUGAAUAGCACCUAAUUUAAUAUACAUAAAUAUAGUUAAUGAAUGUAAUUUUAUAAUGCUAAUCAAUUUAAACAUGGUUAAGCAACAUGUUGCCAUUUGCAGACAUUUGUAUUCUCCUUGUGGAUCACCUAAUCUCUUACACUAUAUUUAUGAGAUUCACCAACCGGCCUUGAACAUUCUCAUGCUUAUUAUUAGCGUAUGCAAUCUACUUUUUUUAAAAAAUUAUGUGCAAUGUUCAUAUGAUUCUUAAACUUCCACAUGAAAAGGGGAAGAAUGGAAGACAAAAGACAAAGGCACGUUGGUGUCUGUUUCCCAACAUGCAUAAGUCUGGUUGUCAAGAUGUUGUGUUAAUGUGUCCCAUUAUUCCGUUUGGCUUAUAACAUCCUUGCAUGGUUUCUUAAAUUCUCUCGGAGUUCUAGUCUCUAUUUCAAGGAACAAACCUAAGCCCACCAACAUGAAAAUGUUCACAUCACUGAUCUGGUCAAAUCAGCUUUGCAUAAGAAGCGAUGAAAAUGACCAAUUGGGUCACCUUUGUUUCUUCAUGUUGGCGAUUUGAUGAUUUUAUAUACUGAUAUCUGAAGCUAAUCGGGAUCUUGGUAUUGGAAGGAGAGAUGGAUAAAGAGUUAUCUUUGGAGUUGACCCCUACAUGGGCUGUGGUCACUGUGGUGGUGGUUAUGGUUUCUCUUGGUUUCUUCUUUCAAGGCUCCUUGAAACAGCUUGCAAAGGUAUAAGAUUUUCUCACAAAUGUUGGUAGUUCUUAAUAAGUUCAAUUUUCAACCUUUUGAUGCCAUAAAUAUGUGUCUCUUUGUCUCAGUUCUCUCAUGUCUGGAGUGGUACUUUGAUGUUAUAAUUAUCUGUUGUGAUCCUUUUUGUCUUUCUUUUCAAUAGUGGCUGGAUAGGACCAAGAGAAAAGCACUACUUUCAGCACUAGACAAGAUCAAAGAAGGUAAGCAACAAGAAUUGAUUGAAAAUCCAAAUUAUUGGGUCAGUUCAAAAGAAAAGUAGUAGUUUUGAUGCUCAUUGUUUGGUUUUGUCAAUCUGUGAGCAGAGCUAAUGGUUUUUGGGCUUCUAUCGUUGUUGAUGGGUCAUUGGAUUGUUUUUGUGGCCAAGAUUUGUGUUAAAUCAUCAACUUUGAACAGCACAUUUUAUCCAUGCGUGGUGAAGAAGAAUAAUUUAACACCAGGACAGCAUGUUCUUUCAAGAGUAAAGUACCCAAACGAUUCAUUUGUUAAAGAGCUGGUGCACAAACAAAAGAAUGAAUAUUGUCCCGAGGUGACUCUCCUCUUCAAAGUGUAAUGUUUACAUGGCAAUUUUUUUUUUCUUGGUUUGCAUUGAUGAUUUAUGUUUUUAUAUCGAACUUUACCGUUAUGCAGUGGGAGGUGGGGUCUGCUAUUAUUCUGUUUUUAUUAAUCGAAACACUGAUUGUUUUUGAACUUAUAUGUCGUCAAGGGUCAUGAAUCCUUCGUUUCACAUGAAAGUCUCGAACAGCUUCAUCGUUUGAUGUUUGUCCUGGGAGUUACCCAUGUUUCUUACAGCUUUAUUGCCAUAGCCUUGGCCAUGAUCAAGGUAUGACCGCACCCUUACCAUUACAAUUUCUGUUGAUAACAAUUGAAGCUUGAUAUUCAUAAAGAGAGCUCUGAGGUUUUGUUUUUAAUGAGUGCAGAUUUAUAGCUGGAGAACAUGGGAAAACCAGGCUAAGACUAUGGCUCUUCAAAGUGUACUAGGUGCAGAAUUUUAUAGUCCAAGAUAGCAUCGUGUUAAUUUUUUUCCUGGAUUUCUUUGCUUAGAGUUACCAUGAAAACCCUCAUAAAUGAGAAUCUCUUUUUGGCCAUGAAUACAAUUUCUGAAUUCCAGGAUCACCUGAAGCUGCAUUUGACGAAACAAGGCAACUAUCUACCUUCAUUUGUCACCACACAUCCCAUCCAUGGAGCCAGCACCGAGUUCUUGUUUGGCUGGUAAUAUCAGAAAACCAUGUACCUUUAUGGCACAUGCUGUUGCAGGUCUAAUUUAAGCAAAAUAAUAAUGAUAUGCAUGGCUUGACUGUAAUUGGUUGCUAAACCUCGUAUCAUUUACUUCUGAUUUUCCAAAUCAUUGAUUGUACGGAUUAAAUCACUCUAUGAACACCUUUUUUAAGAUUAAUGUUGAUUCCUUUUAGAAUUGAAUUCCAGUCGUUCAGAAUGUUUGGUUUUCUUUGGGGCCAUCUAUUGGCUCAACAUGAAAAUCGGGAAAUUUGGAAGACCAUCUUCCAAUAGAUGUUACAGAUGUUGCUUAAAGUCAGUCCUUUCAUAAAAUUGAUAUAGUAAAUAUUAUGCAGAUCAUUUCCAUACAUUCUGGUUGCAUAUUGAUGAAUUCUCUUUUUUAUUCUGGUUUUGUUUCUAGCAUUUGAGUGAUCAUAUAUGAAUUUGCAGCUUUGUUUCAGCCGCCAGUUCUGGAGUUCCAUAAACCAAGCUGACUAUAUGGCUUUGCGCUUGGGUUUCAUCAGCGUAUGCUCUUUGUGAUCUAAAUGGAGCUUCUCUUUCUCAUAGAUUCUAUCAAGGAAAAACUAAAUAUCUAUCAUAUAGUAUCUCAACAUACAAGAAAGAUUAUCAGAACAAAUCAGCAUUACUAAUUGUUGGCUCCAAACAUUUCAUUCUUAUUUUGGUAUAUUUUUCUUUUCCUAUUUUCAGAAACAUCAACUUCCUCUGACAUAUGAUUUCCAUAAUUAUAUGCUUCGAAGCAUGGAGGAGGAAUUCCGUGAUAUUGUUGGCAUCAGGUAAUACCCUAAUGGCAUUCCUUGAAUUAAUGUGCAAAAUAUUGUUGUUACUUGAGCCAUUUACUUUUUCCAACAGUAUUUUUUACUUGCAUGAUUAUGUCAUGGUAAUAAUGAGUAUAUACAGUCUGAAUGAUCAAACAAGCUAAUUGUAAGUGUCAGAGUACUGCAUUAUAGCUAACAGAACGAAUGUGAGUUAUAUGCUGCAUUUCAUGUUGUCUGAAUGCAAUGAGCAAGAUAAUGAAAAUGUUGGCAGUCCAAGCAAUUUUUGUCUGAAGACCGCUGUCUUUAUGCUUUAUCAACAUAACUCCUGCAAAAUAGCAAGUCAUAUUGAUUUCCAGUGCUUGGGCUUCUUUUGCAGUGUGCCUCUGUGGAUUUAUGGCAUAUGUUGCAUUUUCCUCGAGUUUCACGGUAAUUUUCCAUAAGUCAUGAUAAGGUAGUAACUGAAGAGCUGGGACAAUAUUGUCUCUGGAAAACACGGCAGUUGUUCAAAAUUCAACCACGCCUGAAACUUGUUUUUCUAGAACCUCCCAGUUGAGCUAACUCAAGAGCUUAGCAGUUCUGCUGACGCAACCAAACACCAUCUUAGUUGCAUAUUACUUUGUUUUUCUCUUGUAUCUUUGCAACUCCUGCUUGCUUCAUUCCUGAAACCUCGAACUAUCUGUUUUCUGGUUCAGGAACUGAUCUUUACUUUUGGCUUUCCUUUCUUCCAGCCAUUGUAAGUCCACUAAGUUCCACUUUCAGUUCCUUCCCGUACUUAAUUGUUCUUAAUAGCCCAUUUGAUGCCGUUCUUUUCCUUCUUGAUGGGAAUGUCAAAGUUAAUCCUGCUAAUUGGUACAAAACUGCACCGGGUGGUGGUGAAAUUGGCUGUUGAAAUUAUGAAUUUAUUUCCAUGGCUGGGAAAUCGUCAGUUCAACCUGAGGGAUGAGCUCUUCUGGUUUGGAAAGCCUAGACUUCUUCUGUGGUUGAUACAAUUCAUAUCAUUUCAGGUAACUGAAGCAAAAACAUUAUACAAAAUUUGUGUUACAGCAUCAAAAUCUCAUAUACUUACCAUUACUGUGGCAGAACGCUUUUGAGAUGUCAACAUUCCUAUGGUCCCUGGUAAGAUUUUAAUUCUCAUUGUAGCACAACAGACAGUUCGAUAUCACAUAGAUAUAGGCUAAAUGUUGAGGAGGGGAAUCUCUAGCAUGCAGCUAUGCUACAUAAACUUUAUCAGAUAUUCUGCAUGAUGAAUUCUUCAUAUCUUGGCUUCUUUAAAAUGUCUGCUUAUUUUGGGCUUCACUAGUCUUUCCUUGAUAUGGAAAAAAGUCUUCUUUUCUCACUUAUCGUAUGUGAUGCUGAUAAUGGUUCCUGUUACCAGUGGGAAAUCAAAGAGUCUUCUUGUUUUAUGGACAAUGAGACGUACAUUGCUAUCCGCUUGGCUUGCGGGUAAAUUUCUUUAAUAUUCUUGUUAAUCCAAACAUUUUAGAUGUAUAUCUGAUCAAAUAAAUUUUAUAGUAUUGGUGCCUUUGUAUUACUGCAGGGUGGUCACACAAUUCUGGUUUAGCUUUAUCACGUUCCCACUCUAUGUAAUCAUCACACAGGUCUGGUUUAGCUUUAUCUUCUUUUGGUUCCUAUCUAUUUCUAGGUCUCAGUUCUGAAAAAGGUUGCUUAUUUUUUUGUUACAGAUGGGCGCAAAGUUCAAGAAAACGGUAGUAUCCGAAAAUGUGAGGAAAUCACUGCAUGGGUGGCAAAGGAGAGUGAAGGCCAAGCAAAGUUCAUCUACUCCAAACCUUCUGGCUCUUCCAUCAACUACAUCUUUGGGGUUUUCGAUGACAGAUAGCAAACUCAAUACCAACUUUAGCAGCAUAGGCAGGAGCUCCUCGAGAGUCGUGGAUAAAUCAGCAACCUUGCAACAUCAAGAGGCCUCUACUUCACAAGCAGUUACUUAUGGAAUAUCAGAAGAUAAUGAAACGCUUGAGGUUUCACUUGGUUCUGGUACUCCUUGCUAUGACACUUCUAGUGAUGAAGACGAUGCUGGUGUUCAUGAUCUUGGUCAUUAACGGGUAUGUCUCAAUACCCGGUACCAUUUACCAAUGAUCCCCCGUAAUUUUAUAUUAGAAUGAAAUUGGGUUGCAAGUGGUGAGACUGCAGUCUAACAAACAACUAUGGAUCAAUACAUCUUUAUAAUUAGAAGGCAGGGGGUUUUGAAGGAGUUUGGCCUGGCAGAGCUGUGCUUCUACCAAAAGUGUCGGUGACGGCAGCAGUUCUAGCACACAAAAUACGUUCAAAUACAGAAUCCGUAGCAAAGAUGCUUGUUUAUGAAAAUUGUGAAGAUGCAUUUCAUAAAUCUUGCUGCAAUUCGCGUGCAGAAUGAAUACCAGUUGAUGAAUGAUUUCGGCCUUUGUGCGAGAGGGUUUUCUUAGCAUAGGUUAAAUAGUGUGAGGUUGGUAUUUACAGUGGAAGGAAAAUCUUGUUAAUUACUAAGAUUAUGGCUAAUUUAAGUUAAAAGGAAGACCUUACUUAGAGUCUAUCAAGUCAAUCUUCCUUACUUGGAUCCAUGUCAAAUCAAGAAAAAAAUAUGGAUCAAAGCAUAUACAUCCUCAUGUUCAAGAGGGAAAAAAUGAUUAUGGAGUUGUUUUUAAUAUAACAAAUGUGAUAAAUUUUGAGAGGGUUUGUUUUUUUAGGAAAAUCUCAAAUUUCUUUGCUGUACUAUACAUUUAAAUGAAUAUUUAAAGUGCAUUUUUGGAUGUUUUUUAAAGUAUUUUUCAUUUGAAAAUAUAUUAAAAUAAAGUUUUUUUUAUUUUUAAAAAAUAAAUAAUAUUAAAAUAUUAAAAAAAUAUUAAUUUAAAAAAAAAUAUUUAAAUUUUUUAAAAGUAUUUUUAUUAAAACAAAAAGGUAUUAAUCACAAAUAAAUUUAACUUUUUUAUUUAAUUUUUAUUUUUUCUAAAAACAUUACCAUUCUCAGUCCUCUCUCUUGACUUCCUUGCUGUCAUAUCUUCUUCUUCUUGCUUUGAUGAUAUCGUCAGAAGACACCUUCAACAUGAUCAAUGGAGUUUGAAGAUUUACCAUUAAUUCUCAUGUUAUUAUUCUAACCAUAUGGGAUUCUAAUUUUUAUUUUUCUUCAAAAUUAUUGUUUCAUUUUUAAUAUUUAAGGAAGAAUUUGAUAUAAUGUAUAGAUAUACCAAUUCCAAAAUACCCUAAAAUCAUUAAAAAAAUGAAGACCAACCAAAUUUACAAGAAAAAACAACUAGCAUCAAAUUUCUUUCAUAGAAUGAAACCAAUUCAUUGUUGUCUAGGCACUGCUUCUAAGUUGUAACUAGGAAGAAAGCCUUGACUAAAUCAGGAAAGCUAUACCUUCCUCGAAAACAAGACUUUCUUAAUAACUCUCCAACUCUAGAUGAUUUGUCACCUUUGACUUUCCACCUACCCUAUGCCUCUAGUUGAAGUGCUGAUCAAUCAGCUAGCGAUGAUCAAUAUAUAUUUCUAUCUUUUGAAUUUAAUUAAGUAAGCGAUGAACAUUCUGAUGAUACCCAUGUAUUCUAAAAGCAUUUGUUUUUUUUCCUGCUUUCUUGUUUUGUAGCCCCAGGAGAAGAAGGAUGAAGACAAACAACAAUAGGAGGAGAGAAGUGAUAUUUCUGUGUUGUUUUCUCAUCUGCCAGGAUCAGGAUCUGUUGUCAGCUUAUGGGGAGAUGCUUCCAAUUUUAACGGCAUCAAGCCAAUCUAUCAAAGCUUGCCACUCCUCGAGCUCUCAGGCUACAGUUCUCCUGCAGGUCCGGAAGCCCUUCAUUCUGGCUGUACACGUGCACUUCAAUGGUUCAAUCACGAGAGGGCGCCUGGACAACAACAGACACUAUACGGUUAGCGAGAAUGUGCAAAACAUGGAACUGUGUCUUCUCUGUUGUUUCAUUAUCCAAGUGAACUUUGGAACAGUAGCUUGUAUCUGGGUUUGAUUCGUUCUUGUGGCAUGAAUGUUGUACUUUCUCACUUUUGUGCGGAGCGUGUGGCUCACGCCGACCAUCAUUGUUAACUUUCCUUGAGUUUUGUGAAUUUGCUUGUCUCUUUAAACUCUUUCAAAUGAUACCAAACGUGUCACAUCAAAGGCAAGUCCACCUGUCAUAUGUGGCUCACGUGCAACCAUCGUUUGUAGCUUUUCUUUAUGUUCACAUAUUCGUCUCCUCAGGCUUUUUCUAAUUAUAUCUGUAAUAUUAUCAUCAUAGCUUUGAUGAUGUGAUUAUGAGAUUAUUAUUUUUUUUAUCUUCUCCCAUCUAAAAUUAAAAUGUGCACUUUUUAAGUAUUGUUUCUACCAAACUAAACUACUUUUCAAAAAGAUUUAUCGGUACUAGUUUGCUUUAAAAAGUUUAAAUUAUGGAAAUUUAAAAAAAAAAAUAUCUAAAUUUAUGCUUUAAUACACGUGAGUGUAUAGUGACUCGUGUUUUGUCGUGAGUUAGAAAAGUUUUUCUCCAAUAAAAAAUUACAUAUAUAGGCUUUUUUGAUAUGUCUUUAUAUAAAAAAAAUUCUAAAUGUAAAUAAAAACACUCAUUUAUACAUGUAAUUAAAU